UACAGAGGGUGCAAGCGUUGUUCGGAAUCAUUGGGCGUAAAGGGUGCGUAGGCCGCACGGUAAGUCAGAUGUGAAAUCUCAGGGCUCAACUCUGAAAUUGCAUCCGAUACUGCCGUGCUUGAGGACUGGAGAGGAGUCUGGAAUUCAUGGUGGAGCAGUGAAAUGCGUAGAUAUCAUGAGGAACGCUAGUGGCGUAGGCGAGACUCUGGACAGUUCCUGACGCUGAGGCACGAAGGCCAGGGGAGCAAACGGG
RNAcentral lists this ribosomal RNA (253 nucleotides) under uncultured bacterium. RNAcentral describes it as "partial 16S ribosomal RNA". It matches the Rfam family "Bacterial small subunit ribosomal RNA", at positions 524 to 776 of the family's 1533-position model. The record is from RNAcentral.